GUGGAAAGAGUAGAGUCAGCUUUAGCC
This 27-nucleotide non-coding RNA is filed under the name Cricetulus griseus (Chinese hamster). The record is from RNAcentral. Lineage: Eukaryota; Metazoa; Chordata; Mammalia; Rodentia; Cricetidae.